AUCCUUUUGUAGUUCAUAAGUGUGCUGAUUGGGUGUUCACGCUUUUGCGUGAGAUGUGCGUCCCACAAACCUUGUUAUGACAUCGGCACAUUACCCAUCUGACG
Rhinolophus ferrumequinum (greater horseshoe bat) is the source of this 104-nucleotide small nucleolar RNA. Lineage: Eukaryota; Metazoa; Chordata; Mammalia; Chiroptera; Rhinolophidae. The record is from Ensembl.